GACGAACGCUGGCGGCGUGCUUAACACAUGCAAGUCGAACGCUGAAGCUUGGUGCUUGCACUGGGUGGAUGAGUGGCGAACGGGUGAGUAAUACGUGAGUAACCUGCCCUUGACUCUGGGAUAAGCCUGGGAAACUGGGUCUAAUACUGGAUACGACAUGUCACCGCAUGGUGGUGUGUGGAAAGGGUUUUACUGGUUUUGGAUGGGCUCACGGCCUAUCAGCUUGUUGGUGGGGUAAUGGCUCACCAAGGCGACGACGGGUAGCCGGCCUGAGAGGGUGACCGGCGACACUGGGACUGAGACACGGCCCAGACUCCUACGGGAGGCAGCAGUGGGGAAUAUUGCACAAUGGGCGGAAGCCUGAUGCAGCGACGCCGCGUGAGGGAUGACGGCCUUCGGGUUGUAAACCUCUUUCAGCACGGAAGAAGCGAAAGUGACGGUACGUGCAGAAGAAGCGCCGGCUAACUACGUG
This 472-nucleotide ribosomal RNA is filed under the name uncultured bacterium. RNAcentral describes it as "partial 16S ribosomal RNA". It matches the Rfam family "Bacterial small subunit ribosomal RNA", at positions 28 to 507 of the family's 1533-position model. The record is from RNAcentral.